AAGUCGUAACAAGGUUUCCGUAGGUGAACCUGCGGAAGGAUCAUUAUUGAAUUAAUAGUGGUAGUGCUGAUGCUGGUGGUCAAACACAUGUGCUCGCUCUGCCACUUAUUAACAUUUCCACCUGUGAACUAUUGUAGAUGUUGAAGGUCACCUCUCAAGCUUUCAGCAAUGAUAUGCUUGGUCUGGCGUUUGCGGGCUUCAUUCAGUUGAAGUCGGCUCUCGCUGCGAACUUCAACAUCUAUCCUUACAUAUACCCAUUAACAAAAAGUAACAAGAAGGACUUGAGAUUGGGCUUCAUUGCCUAUAAAUCAAUUAUACAACUUUCAGCAACGGAUCUCUUGGCUCUC
Molecule: unclassified non-coding RNA, 347 nt
Filed under: Cyathus stercoreus
Lineage: Eukaryota; Fungi; Basidiomycota; Agaricomycetes; Agaricales; Nidulariaceae
Description: partial internal transcribed spacer region
Rfam family: Eukaryotic small subunit ribosomal RNA (bases 1-46)
Source: RNAcentral